Molecule: ribosomal RNA, 795 nt
Filed under: uncultured Clostridiaceae bacterium
Lineage: Bacteria; Bacillati; Bacillota; Clostridia; Eubacteriales; Clostridiaceae
Description: bacterial SSU rRNA
Rfam family: Bacterial small subunit ribosomal RNA
Source: RNAcentral
AGAGUUUGAUCCUGGCUUCAGGACGAACGCUGGCGGCGUGCCUAACACAUGCAAGUCGAGCGAAGUGCCUUGAAAGGAAUCUUUCGGGAUGAAUAGAAAGGUAUCUUAGCGGCGGACGGGUGAGUAACGCGUGAGGAAACCUGCCUUCUACAAGGGGAUAGCCUCGGGAAACCGGGAUUAAUACCCUAUGAAACUUAAGAGCCGCAUGGUUUUUAAGUCAAAGCGCAAAGCGGUAGAAGAUGGCCUCGCGUCCCAUUAGCUAGUUGGUGAGGUAACGGCUCACCAAGGCAACGAUGGGUAGCCGGCUUGAGAGAGUGAACGGCCACACUGGAACUGAGACACGGUCCAGACUCCUACGGGAGGCAGCAGUGGGGAAUAUUGCACAAUGGAGGAAACUCUGAUGCAGCGACGCCGCGUGAGCGAAGAAGGCCUUCGGGUCGUAAAGCUMUGUCCUAUGGGACGAUAAUGACGGUACCAUAGGAGGAAGCCCCGGCUAACUACGUGCCAGCAGCCGCGGUAAUACGUAGGGGGCGAGCGUUGUCCGGAAUGACUGGGCGUAAAGGGUACGUAGGCGGCCAGAUAAGUCAGAUGUGAAAGGCAUGGGCUUAACCCGUGUUAGCAUUUGAAACUGUGUGGCUUGAGUUAAGGAGAGGAAAGUGGAAUUCCUGGUGUAGCGGUGAAAUGCGUAGAUAUCAGGAGGAAUACCAGUGGCGAAGGCGACUUUCUGGACUUAAACUGACGCUGAGGUACGAAMYUUGCKKGUUACAAACAGGAUUAGAUACCCUGGUAGUCCAC